AAAAACUUAGGUUAAUUAAACCAAGAGCCUUCAAAGCCCUAAAUAAGGACAACAACCCUUAGUUUUUG
This 68-nucleotide transfer RNA is filed under the name Anolis polylepis. RNAcentral describes it as "tRNA-Trp". The record is from RNAcentral. Lineage: Eukaryota; Metazoa; Chordata; Lepidosauria; Squamata; Anolidae.